This 837-nucleotide ribosomal RNA is filed under the name Chaetopyrena penicillata. RNAcentral's name for it is "eukaryotic LSU rRNA". It matches the Rfam family "Eukaryotic large subunit ribosomal RNA", at positions 76 to 931 of the family's 3401-position model. Lineage: Eukaryota; Fungi; Ascomycota; Dothideomycetes; Pleosporales; Didymellaceae. The record is from RNAcentral.
UGCCUUAGUAACGGCGAGUGAAGCGGCAACAGCUCAAAUUUGAAAUCUGGCGUCUUUGGCGUCCGAGUUGUAAUUUGCAGAGGGCGCUUUGGCAUUGGCAGCGGUCCAAGUUCCUUGGAACAGGACGUCACAGAGGGUGAGAAUCCCGUACGUGGUCGCUAGCCUUUACCGUGUAAAGCCCCUUCGACGAGUCGAGUUGUUUGGGAAUGCAGCUCUAAAUGGGAGGUAAAUUUCUUCUAAAGCUAAAUACUGGCCAGAGACCGAUAGCGCACAAGUAGAGUGAUCGAAAGAUGAAAAGCACUUUGGAAAGAGAGUUAAAAAGCACGUGAAAUUGUUGAAAGGGAAGCGCUUGCAGCCAGACUUGCUUGUAGUUGCUCAUCCGGGUUUUUACCCGGUGCACUCUUCUAUAAGCAGGCCAGCAUCAGUUUGGGCGGUUGGAUAAAGGUCUCUGUCAUGUACCUCUCUUCGGGGAGAACUUAUAGGGGAGACGACAUGCAACCAGCCUGGACUGAGGUCCGCGCAUCUGCUAGGAUGCUGGCGUAAUGGCUGUAAGCGGCCCGUCUUGAAACACGGACCAAGGAGUCUAACAUCUAUGCGAGUGUUUGGGUGUCAAGCCCGAGCGCGUAAUGAAAGUGAACGGAGGUGGGAACCCCUCGGGGUGCACCAUCGACCGAUCCUGAUGUCUUCGGAUGGAUUUGAGUAAGAGCAUAGCUGUUGGGACCCGAAAGAUGGUGAACUAUGCUUGAAUAGGGUGAAGCCAGAGGAAACUCUGGUGGAGGCUCGCAGCGGUUCUGACGUGCAAAUCGAUCGUCAAAUUUGGGCAUAGGGGCGAAAGAC